AUGACAGAGACUGAUGAAGCUCACCAUAUUACAGCUAAAAGAAUCAAGGAGGAAUAUCUGGAAGAUUUUUCAGAUGAUGAACCAUUGAGUAAAGUCUCAAAGAAACAUGAUCCAAAACCUCAGAGAUGGACCAAAACAGCAAACCUGCCAAUGAGACCCAGAAGAGAAAGGAGGGCAACAAUGAAAACGGUUAAUUAUAAAGAGGCUUCCAGUGACAGCUCUGACGAUACACUGACAGAGCAAAAGUCAACCAUGACAGAGACUGGUGAAGCUCACCAUAUUACAGCUAAAAGAAUCAAGGAGGAAUAUCUGGAAGAUACCACUGACGACUCAGAUGACGAAGCAGUGACAGAAAUGAAGACAACCAAGGCAGAGACUGGUGAAGCUCAUGAUUUCACUGCUAUAAUAAUCAAGGAGGAAUAUCUGGAAGACACCAUUGACAACUCAGAUGACGAAGCAGUGACAGGAAUGAAGACAACCAAGGCAGAGACUGGUGAAGCUCAUGAUAUCACUGCUAUAAGAAUCAAGGAGGAAUAUCUGGAAGACACCAUUGACAACUCAGAUGACGAAGCAGUGACAGGAAUGAAGACAACCAAGGCAGAGACUGGUGAAGCUCAUGAUAUCACUGCUAUAAGAAUCAAGGAGGAAUAUCUGGAAGACACCACUGACAACUCAGAUGACGAAGCAGUGACAGGAAUGAAGACAACCAAGGCAGAGACUGGUGAAGCUCAUGAUAUCACUGCUAUAAGAAUCAAGGAGGAAUAUCUGGAAGGUAGGACGCCUUUUGUGUGGUUUUCCUGAAAGAAUGAGCACAUUUUCUUCCUUGGGUCAAAAAGUUCCUUUUUGAGUUUCUAAUUGCAAAAUGACAGCUGCAGUUUUUUGAAAGAACAAUAGAAAGAAGCUGCCACAUAAUACACACAAUUUUUUAAUAAUCUUUUAAGUUUUGUUAACAUUGUGAUAGCUAAGAAACCAGUGACAGAGAUCAACUAAAGUCCAACAGCUCCCCAUCUGCUGGUACAAAG
This 1022-nucleotide long non-coding RNA is filed under the name Takifugu rubripes (torafugu). RNAcentral describes it as "lncRNA (ENSTRUG00000030928.1)". Lineage: Eukaryota; Metazoa; Chordata; Actinopteri; Tetraodontiformes; Tetraodontidae. The record is from RNAcentral.